RNAcentral lists this ribosomal RNA (1343 nucleotides) under uncultured bacterium. Its description in RNAcentral is "16S ribosomal RNA". It matches the Rfam family "Bacterial small subunit ribosomal RNA", at positions 28 to 1378 of the family's 1533-position model. The record is from RNAcentral.
GACGAACGCUGGCGGCGUGCUUAACACAUGCAAGUCGAACGGAAAGGCCCUGCUUUUGUGGGGUGCUCGAGUGGCGAACGGGUGAGUAACACGUGAGUAACCUGCCCUUGACUUUGGGAUAACUUCAGGAAACUGGGGCUAAUACCGGAUAGGAGCUCCUGCUGCAUGGUGGGGGUUGGAAAGUUUCGGCGGUUGGGGAUGGACUCGCGGCUUAUCAGCUUGUUGGUGGGGUAGUGGCUUACCAAGGCUUUGACGGGUAGCCGGCCUGAGAGGGUGACCGGCCACAUUGGGACUGAGAUACGGCCCAGACUCCUACGGGAGGCAGCAGUGGGGAAUAUUGCACAAUGGGCGGAAGCCUGAUGCAGCAACGCCGCGUGCGGGAUGACGGCCUUCGGGUUGUAAACCGCUUUCGCCUGUGACGAAGCGUGAGUGACGGUAAUGGGUAAAGAAGCACCGGCUAACUACGUGCCAGCAGCCGCGGUGAUACGUAGGGUGCGAGCGUUGUCCGGAUUUAUUGGGCGUAAAGGGCUCGUAGGUGGUUGAUCGCGUCGGAAGUGUAAUCUUGGGGCUUAACCCUGAGCGUGCUUUCGAUACGGGUUGACUUGAGGAAGGUAGGGGAGAAUGGAAUUCCUGGUGGAGCGGUGGAAUGCGCAGAUAUCAGGAGGAACACCAGUGGCGAAGGCGGUUCUCUGGGCCUUUCCUGACGCUGAGGAGCGAAAGCGUGGGGAGCGAACAGGCUUAGAUACCCUGGUAGUCCACGCUGUAAACGGUGGGUACUAGGUGUGGGGUCCAUUCCACGGGUUCCGUGCCGUAGCUAACGCUUUAAGUACCCCGCCUGGGGAGUACGGCCGCAAGGCUAAAACUCAAAGGAAUUGACGGGGCCCCGCACAAGCGGCGGAGCAUGCGGAUUAAUUCGAUGCAACGCGUAGAACCUUACCUGGGUUUGACAUGGAUCGGGAGUGCUCAGAGAUGGGUGUGCCUCUUUUGGGGUCGGUUCACAGGUGGUGCAUGGCUGUCGUCAGCUCGUGUCGUGAGAUGUUGGGUUAAGUCCCGCAACGAGCGCAACCCUUGUUCACUGUUGCCAGCACGUUAUGGUGGGGACUCAGUGGAGACCGCCGGGGUCAACUCGGAGGAAGGUGGGGAUGACGUCAAGUCAUCAUGCCCCUUAUGUCCAGGGCUUCACGCAUGCUACAAUGGCUGGUACAGAGAGUGGCGAGCCUGUGAGGGUGAGCGAAUCUCGGAAGGUCGGUCUCAGUUCGGAUUGGGGUCUGCAAUUCGACCUCAUGAAGUCGGAGUCGCUAGUAAUCGCAGGUCAGCAACGCUGCGGUGAAUACGUUCCCGGG